GGGAGCAUAAUGAGGGUACCGGAAGAAUAAGCCCCGGCUAACUUCGUGCCAGCAGCCGCGGUAAUACGUAGGGGGCAAGCGUUUUUGGGAAUUACUGGGCGUAAAGCGCGCGCGGGCGGUUUUAUAAGUCAGGUGUGAAAUCCCGGGGCUCAACCUGGGAACCGCUUUAGAGACGGGAAAUCUAGAGUGCGGCAGAGGGGGGUGGAAUUCCGCGUGUAGCGGUGAAAUGCGUAGAUAUGGGGAGGAACACCGGUGGCGAAG
RNAcentral lists this ribosomal RNA (261 nucleotides) under uncultured bacterium. RNAcentral's name for it is "partial 16S ribosomal RNA". It matches the Rfam family "Bacterial small subunit ribosomal RNA", at positions 442 to 720 of the family's 1533-position model. The record is from RNAcentral.